RNAcentral lists this transfer RNA (73 nucleotides) under Diaphorina citri (Asian citrus psyllid). It matches the Rfam family "tRNA". From Rfam's summary of the family: Transfer RNA (tRNA) molecules are approximately 80 nucleotides in length. Their secondary structure includes four short double-helical elements and three loops (D, anti-codon, and T loops). Further hydrogen bonds mediate the characteristic L-shaped molecular structure. tRNAs have two regions of fundamental functional importance: the anti-codon, which is responsible for specific mRNA codon recognition, and the 3' end, to which the tRNAs corresponding amino acid is attached (by aminoacyl-tRNA synthetases). tRNAs cope with the degeneracy of the genetic code in two manners: having more than one tRNA (with a specific anti-codon) for a particular amino acid; and 'wobble' base-pairing, i.e. permitting non-standard base-pairing at the 3rd anti-codon position. The record is from Rfam by way of RNAcentral. Lineage: Eukaryota; Metazoa; Arthropoda; Insecta; Hemiptera; Psyllidae.
GCCUAGUUAGCUUAGUUGGUAGUGCGUCUGCCUUGUAAGCGUCAGGCCGCGGGUUCGAUUCCCGCCCGGGGCG